Molecule: ribosomal RNA, 556 nt
Filed under: uncultured bacterium
Lineage: Bacteria
Description: partial 16S ribosomal RNA
Rfam family: Bacterial small subunit ribosomal RNA
Source: RNAcentral
UGGGGAAUAUUGCACAAUGGGCGAAAGCCUGAUGCAGCAACGCCGCGUGAGUGAUGAAGGCCUUCGGGUUGUAAAGCUCUGUCUUUUGGGACGAUAAUGACGGUACCAAAGGAGGAAGCCACGGCUAACUACGUGCCAGCAGCCGCGGUAAUACGUAGGUGGCAAGCGUUGUCCGGAUUUACUGGGCGUAAAGGAUGCGUAGGCGGAUUUUUAAGUGAGAUGUGAAAACCCUAAGCUUAACUUGGGGACUGCAUUUCAUACUGGAAAUCUAGAGUGCGGGAGAGGAGAAUGGAAUUCCUAGUGUAGCGGUGAAAUGCGUAGAGAUUAGGAAGAACACCAGUGGCGAAGGCGAUUCUCUGGACCGUAACUGACGCUGAGGCAUGAAAGCGUGGGUAGCAAACAGGAUUAGAUACCCUGGUAGUCCACGCCGUAAACGAUGAGUACUAGGUGUAGGAGGUAUCGACCCCUUCUGUGCCGCAGUUAACACAAUAAGUACUCCGCCUGGGAAGUACGAUCGCAAGAUUAAAAACUUAAAGGAAUUGACGGGGUCAUAAGC